RNAcentral lists this transfer RNA (76 nucleotides) under Shewanella algae. RNAcentral's name for it is "tRNA-Pro". It matches the Rfam family "tRNA". From Rfam's summary of the family: Transfer RNA (tRNA) molecules are approximately 80 nucleotides in length. Their secondary structure includes four short double-helical elements and three loops (D, anti-codon, and T loops). Lineage: Bacteria; Pseudomonadati; Pseudomonadota; Gammaproteobacteria; Alteromonadales; Shewanellaceae. The record is from RNAcentral. RNAcentral also lists the same sequence under 1 other name.
CUCGGUGUAGCUCAGUUGGGAGAGCGCCUGCUUUGGGAGCAGGAAGUCAGAGGUUCGAGUCCUCUCACCGAGACCA